This 159-nucleotide ribosomal RNA is filed under the name Venturia inaequalis. RNAcentral describes it as "5.8S ribosomal RNA". The stretch from base 25 to 159 matches the Rfam family "5.8S ribosomal RNA", at positions 1 to 137 of the family's 154-position model. Rfam says of the family: 5.8S ribosomal RNA (5.8S rRNA) is a component of the large subunit of the eukaryotic ribosome. It is transcribed by RNA polymerase I as part of the 45S precursor that also contains 18S and 28S rRNA. Functionally, it is thought that 5.8S rRNA may be involved in ribosome translocation. The record is from RNAcentral. Lineage: Eukaryota; Fungi; Ascomycota; Dothideomycetes; Venturiales; Venturiaceae.
CUGAGAACAAGUUAAAUAAAACAAAACUUUCAACAACGGAUCUCUUGGUUCUGGCAACGAUGAAGAACGCACGAAAUGCGAUAAGUAAUGUGAAUUGCAAAAUUCAUGAAUCAUCGAAUCUUUGAACGCACAUUGCGCCCCCUGGUAUUCCGGGGGGCA